Molecule: small nucleolar RNA, 76 nt
Filed under: Pan paniscus (pygmy chimpanzee)
Lineage: Eukaryota; Metazoa; Chordata; Mammalia; Primates; Hominidae
Description: Small nucleolar RNA SNORD74 (ENSPPAG00000010254.1)
Rfam family: Small nucleolar RNA SNORD74
About the family: Z18 also identified as U74 (SNORD74) belongs to the C/D class of snoRNA which contain the C (UGAUGA) and D (CUGA) box motifs. Most of the members of the box C/D family function in directing site-specific 2'-O-methylation of substrate RNAs. U74 is predicted to guide the 2'O-ribose methylation of 28S rRNA residue C3820.
Source: Rfam by way of RNAcentral
AUGUGAUGCCUCUGAUGAAGCCUAUGUAGAGACAUCUGAGAAUGUAGAUGAAUGCCAAUGGCCCUCAUGGAAAGAG